RNAcentral lists this small RNA (36 nucleotides) under Bombyx mori (domestic silkworm). Its description in RNAcentral is "ovarian small RNA-26296". The record is from RNAcentral. Lineage: Eukaryota; Metazoa; Arthropoda; Insecta; Lepidoptera; Bombycidae.
UCAUUAAUGUUUAUUUGCUCUGAUUGUUGUAGCAAU